AUUGAACGCUGGCGGAAUGCUUUACACAUGCAAGUCGAGCGGCAGCGCGGGGCAACCUGGCGGCGAGCGGCGAACGGGUGAGUAAUACAUCGGAACGUACCCAGUUGUGGGGGAUAGCCCGGCGAAAGCCGGAUUAAUACCGCAUACGACCUGAGGGUGAAAGUGGGGGAUCGCAAGACCUCACGCAGUUGGAGCGGCCGAUGGCGGAUUAGCUAGUUGGGAGGGUAAAGGCCUACCAAGGCGACGAUCCGUAGCGGGUCUGAGAGGACGACCCGCCACACUGGAACUGAGACACGGUCCAGACUCCUACGGGAGGCAGCAGUGGGGAAUUUUGGACAAUGGGGGCAACCCUGAUCCAGCCAUUCCGCGUGAGUGAAGAAGGCCUUCGGGUUGUAAAGCUCUUUCGGCAGGAACGAAACGGUGGGCUCUAACAUAGCCUGCUAAUGACGGUACCUGAAGAAGAAGCACCGGCUAACUACGUGCCAGCAGCCGCCGCAG
Molecule: ribosomal RNA, 498 nt
Filed under: uncultured bacterium
Lineage: Bacteria
Description: partial 16S ribosomal RNA
Rfam family: Bacterial small subunit ribosomal RNA
Source: RNAcentral